Long non-coding RNA from Sapajus apella (tufted capuchin), 179 nucleotides. RefSeq lists it as uncharacterized. Lineage: Eukaryota; Metazoa; Chordata; Mammalia; Primates; Cebidae. The record is from RefSeq and is a predicted model, not a curated record. The transcript is spliced from 4 exons.
AUUCCUUAAGGACCCAGAAAUAUAAAUACCAUCUGACCCAGCAAUCCCAUUACUGGGUAUAUACCCAAAGAAAUAGAAAUCGUUCUAUUAUACAGACACACGCAUAUGUUCAUUGCAGCACUAUUCACAAUAGCAAAGACAUGGAAUCAACCCAAAUGCCCGUCAAUGACAGACUGGAU